GACGGAGGAUGCAAGUGUUAUCCGGAAUCACUGGGCGUAAAGCGUCUGUAGGUGGUUUAAAAAGUCCACUGUUAAAAAUUGAAGCUUAACUUCGAAGAUGCCGUGGAAACUUUUAAACUUGAGUAUGGUAGGGUAGAGGGAAUUUCCAGUGGAGCGGUGAAAUGCGUAGAUAUUGGAAAGACCACCAAUGGCGAAGGCACUCUACUGGGCCAUUACUGACACUGAGAGACGAAAGCUAGGGGAGCAAAUGGG
RNAcentral lists this ribosomal RNA (252 nucleotides) under uncultured bacterium. Its description in RNAcentral is "partial 16S ribosomal RNA". It matches the Rfam family "Bacterial small subunit ribosomal RNA", at positions 524 to 776 of the family's 1533-position model. The record is from RNAcentral.